This 226-nucleotide ribosomal RNA is filed under the name Clostridioides difficile. RNAcentral describes it as "partial 23S ribosomal RNA". It matches the Rfam family "Bacterial large subunit ribosomal RNA", at positions 1145 to 1379 of the family's 2925-position model. The record is from RNAcentral. Lineage: Bacteria; Bacillati; Bacillota; Clostridia; Peptostreptococcales; Peptostreptococcaceae.
CUGGUCGAGUGAUCCUGCGCCGAAGAUUUCCGGGGCUAAAACUUACUACCGAAGCUACGGCAUCAGUAAUGAUGGGUAGGGGAGCUUCCCAUACGGGUUGAAGCAUGACCGUAAGGACAUGUGGACAGUAUGGGAGUGAGAAUGUUGGCAUGAGUAGCGAGAUGUGGGUGAGAAUCCCACAGGCCGUAAACCCAAGGUUUCCAGGGGAAGGUUCGUCCGCCCUGGG